CCCGCGCAAAUUUGAAUUUCAUAAAGAUAAUUUUAAUCAUAACAUGUGAUUUGUAAAAUAUGUUCUCGGUCGGACGAUCGAUUCAUUCUUCUCCAAGAUCUUAAUGAGAAUACAUCUGUGUACCCUCCUUAUCUUAUAUAAAAUAAUUCCAUAUAUGUUGGCGUAAAUAUCAAGGGCUGGUACUGAAAACUGUGACAUUAAUAAAUGGCAUAAAACUACAAGUGUUAUUGCAUUGAAUAUUAAUUACCAAUCCAAACAAGAUAUUACAACUGUUAAUAAGGAUUCAUUUCUGGCGAGCAUAGAAAUCUCAAUAAUUAGUAUAUUUUGGUUAGUUGUAAAAAAGAAGUAGGGAUAUAAUAUUCGCCUAUGAACAGAUGCGGAUUGCUGACCAUUCUGACCUGAUUCCUUGUAAGUGUAGUGUGUAGUGUGGUAAAAGUUUUGUUGGUGGUCCUAAAUAAGCAAAGAUUACCGGGUUUAACGGAUCAAAGCAAUAAUUACGUUUGGUUUCGAUAAAAUCAUUUCAAUAGUAAGUGUUCAGUUACUUCAGCUCAACUUAUUCUGUUCGCCAGUGGUAGCAGGACGCGGGUUUGAGGAACUUACCUGGCAGAGUAUUUGCUAAAAUAUUUGAAUAACAUGAAUACCAAGGAAUCGAUGGUGAGGACACUCUUUGGAUAAGUUGAAGAGGACCCUUUAACCAAGACCCACAGAAAAAUUUUCUCUAAUCUUGAUGAACCUUUUGGAUCAACAGAGGAAAACGGAAUGUAGACACCUGUUAACACCGGAAGGAAUAUUUCCUGUUUCGAAAUCAUCAUAAAAUAUAAAGGAAGGGAUGAUUAUUUUAUCUAGAUACUGUUUUUCCAGUAAAAUCCACAAAGUGGAAUUGCAAAUACUACCUACUUUUGUAAUCAGAAUUCGAAUGUAAAAUAUUGACUAGAAAUAAAUAUAAAGAGUAUUUAGUAUUCCAUAAAUAUAUUUUCCUUGAAUAAAAUGUAUUCAUAUUUAAUUAACAGAGAUGUGCAUGACUUUCAGACAAAAAAAGGAUUGGUUUUAAAAAAUGAGAAUUAAUUUAUGGAUAAUUAAGUUCAUUUGUUGAAGGUACUCAAUUGCUUAUAACAAAUCGUUUUUUUUAGUAUCACUCUCAUUUAUUUCCAAAUAAUAAAUGUAACAUAAGAGACAAAUAAAUUCAAUUAUUAUCAAGUAGAA
Coccinella septempunctata (seven-spotted ladybird) is the source of this 1203-nucleotide long non-coding RNA. RefSeq lists it as uncharacterized. The record is from RefSeq and is a predicted model, not a curated record. The transcript is spliced from 2 exons. NCBI's taxonomy places the organism in Eukaryota, Metazoa, Arthropoda, Insecta, Coleoptera, Coccinellidae.